GACAGUUUGUCCGAGUGGUUAAGGAGUUAGACUCGAAUGGUCCAAGACCAAUCAAUCUAGUGGGUUCGCCCGCGCAUGUUCGAAUCAUGCAGCUGUCG
Molecule: transfer RNA, 98 nt
Filed under: Penicilliopsis zonata CBS 506.65
Lineage: Eukaryota; Fungi; Ascomycota; Eurotiomycetes; Eurotiales; Aspergillaceae
Description: tRNA-Ser
Rfam family: tRNA
About the family: Transfer RNA (tRNA) molecules are approximately 80 nucleotides in length. Their secondary structure includes four short double-helical elements and three loops (D, anti-codon, and T loops).
Source: RNAcentral